UGCCUUUGUGUGCGGUUAGAUGAUGCUCGUC
This 31-nucleotide non-coding RNA is filed under the name Mus musculus (house mouse). Lineage: Eukaryota; Metazoa; Chordata; Mammalia; Rodentia; Muridae. The record is from RNAcentral.